This 253-nucleotide ribosomal RNA is filed under the name uncultured bacterium. RNAcentral's name for it is "partial 16S ribosomal RNA". It matches the Rfam family "Bacterial small subunit ribosomal RNA", at positions 524 to 776 of the family's 1533-position model. The record is from RNAcentral.
UACGUAGGUGACAAGCGUUGUCCGGAUUUACUGGGCGUAAAGAGCGCGCAGGCGGUCGAUCAAGUCGAGUGUGAAAGCCCCCGGCUCAACUGGGGAGGGUCAUUCGAUACUGAUCGACUCGAAGGCAGGAGAGGGUAGUGGAAUUCCCGGUGUAGUGGUGAAAUGCGUAGAUAUUGGGAAGAACACCAGUGGCGAAGGCGGCUCACUGGUCCGCAACUGACGCUGAGGCGCGAAAGCGUGGGGAGCAAACAGG